UGGGAGGGGAAUGGAUCAAAACACAAAUUGGUCAAAGAAUGACUUUUACCAAAUUAAUAUCAUCCAUUCAUUUUGGGAGAUGGAAUAUACAUUCCAUUAAUCCCCUAAAUCCAAUGAUAUUAACUUGACAAAGUCAAAUCAUCCUUGACCAAUGCCUAAGAACAAGAGUUAAACAUAAACAAGUCAUUACAAUUGGUCAAUGUCAUACGGUGAACUGGACUUUUUGUGGUUUUAAUCGCAAUGUCGCGGUUAGCAAGAGUCGCCAUCGACUUUU
This 274-nucleotide long non-coding RNA is filed under the name Lathyrus oleraceus (garden pea). RNAcentral describes it as "Pisum sativum (pea) long non-coding RNA (PSAT_LNC012251)". The record is from RNAcentral. Lineage: Eukaryota; Viridiplantae; Streptophyta; Magnoliopsida; Fabales; Fabaceae.